RNAcentral lists this ribosomal RNA (431 nucleotides) under uncultured bacterium. RNAcentral describes it as "partial 16S ribosomal RNA". It matches the Rfam family "Bacterial small subunit ribosomal RNA", at positions 29 to 507 of the family's 1533-position model. The record is from RNAcentral.
AACGAACGCUGGCGGCAGGCCUAACACAUGCAAGUCGAGCGCCCUUUCGGGGGAGCGGCGGACGGGUGAGUAACGCGUGGGAAUAUGCCCUUCUCUACGGAAUAGCCUCGGGAAACUGAGAGUAAUACCGUAUACGCCCUGUGGGGGAAAGAUUUAUCGGGGAAGGAUUAGCCCGCGUUGGAUUAGGUAGUUGGUGGGGUAAUGGCCUACCAAGCCGACGAUCCAUAGCUGGUUUGAGAGGAUGAUCAGCCACACUGGGACUGAGACACGGCCCAGACUCCUACGUGAGGCAGCAGUGGGGAAUCUUAGACAAUGGGGGCAACCCUGAUCUAGCCAUGCCGCGUGAGUGAUGAAGGCCUUAGGGUUGUAAAGCUCUUUCAGCUGGGAAGAUAAUGACGGUACCAGCAGAAGAAGCCCCGGCUAACUCCGUG